CCUACGGGAGGCAGCAGUGGGGAAUUUUGGACAAUGGGCGCAAGCCUGAUCCAGCAAUGCCGCGUGAGUGAAGAAGGCCUUCGGGUUGUAAAGCUCUUUUGUCAGGGAAGAAACGGUGGAGGUUAAUACCUUCUGCUAAUGACGGUACCUGAAGAAUAAGCACCGGCUAACUACGUGCCAGCAGCCGCGGUAAUACGUAGGGUGCAAGCGUUAAUCGGAAUUACUGGGCGUAAAGCGUGCGCAGGCGGUUGUGCAAGACAGAUGUGAAAUCCCCGGGCUCAACCUGGGAAUUGCAUUUGUGACUGUACGGCUAGAGUGUGUCAGAGGGGGGUAGAAUUCCACGUGUAGCAGUGAAAUGCGUAGAGAUGUGGAGGAAUACCGAUGGCGAAGGCAGCCCCCUGGGAUAACACUGACGCUCAUGCACGAAAGCGUGGGGAGCAAACAGGAUUAGAUACCCUGGUAGUCCACGCCCUAAACGAUGUCUACUAGUUGUCGGGUCUUUAUUGACUUGGUAACGCAGCUAACGCGUGAAGUAGACCGCCUGGGGAUACGGUCGCAAGNUUAAAACGCAAAGGAAUUGACGGCUGAGGACAGCGACGACGACGACGAGGGAGGAGG
Molecule: ribosomal RNA, 618 nt
Filed under: uncultured bacterium
Lineage: Bacteria
Description: bacterial SSU rRNA
Rfam family: Bacterial small subunit ribosomal RNA
Source: RNAcentral